Molecule: non-coding RNA, 73 nt
Organism: Suricata suricatta (meerkat)
Lineage: Eukaryota; Metazoa; Chordata; Mammalia; Carnivora; Herpestidae
Source: the annotation of a RefSeq genome assembly
GUCUGACUGGCUCAGUUGGUAGAGCGUGUGACUCUUAAUCUCAGGGUUGUGAGUUCAAGUUCCACAUUAGACA